This 816-nucleotide ribosomal RNA is filed under the name Chloroflexota bacterium. RNAcentral describes it as "bacterial SSU rRNA". It matches the Rfam family "Bacterial small subunit ribosomal RNA", at positions 1 to 827 of the family's 1533-position model. Lineage: Bacteria; Bacillati; Chloroflexota. The record is from RNAcentral.
UCUAAAUGGAGAGCUUGAUCCUGGCUCAGAAUAAACGUUGGCGGUGCGCCUUAUGCAUGCAAGUCGGACGGUUGAGCGCGUAACUUGUUAUGUGCUCGAUAGUGGCGAACGGCUGAGUAACACGUAAGUAAUCUACCUUGGAGCAGGAAAUAACCUGUCGAAAGGCGGGCUAAUGUCCCAUGUGGUAACGAAGCAUAUGCUUGGUUACUAAAGUCUUCGGGCGCUCUGAGAGGGGCUUGCGUCUGAUUAGCUAGUUGGUAGGGUAAUGGCCUACCAAGGCGAUGAUUGGUAGCUGGUCUGAGAGGAUGAUCAGCCAGAUGGGGACUGAGACACGGCCCCAACUCCUACGGGAGGCAGCAGCAAGGAAUCUUGGGCAAUGAGCGAAAGCUUGACCCAGCGACACCGCGUGAGGGAAGAAGGCCCUCGGGUUGUAAACCUCUUUUCUUGGGGAAGAAUUCUGACGGUACCCAAGGAAUAAGCCUCGGCCAACUACGUGCCAGCAGCCGCGGUAAUACGUAGGAGGCGAACGUUAUUCGGAUUUACUGGGCGUAAAGGGAGCGUAGGCGGUUCUUCAAGUCAGAUGUGAAAUCUUUUGACUCAAUCAGAAGGCGCCAUUUGAUACUGAGGGACUUGAGAAUAGCAGAGGGAAAUGGAAUCCCCAGUGUAGCGGUGAAAUGCGUAGAUAUUGGGGAGAACACCAGUGGCGAAGGCGAUUUCCCAGGUUGUUUCUGACGCUGAGGCUCGAAAGCGUGGGGAGCGAAGCGGAUUAGAUACCCGCGUAGUCCACGCCCUAAACGGUGGACACUAGACAUAGGG